This 480-nucleotide ribosomal RNA is filed under the name uncultured bacterium. Its description in RNAcentral is "bacterial SSU rRNA". It matches the Rfam family "Bacterial small subunit ribosomal RNA", at positions 9 to 484 of the family's 1533-position model. The record is from RNAcentral.
AGAGUUGAUCCUGCUCAGACGAACGCUGCGGCGUCCUAAACAUGCAGCCGAGCGACCUUAAGGAGCUGCUCCUUAAGGUAACGGCGGACGGGUGAGUAACACGUGGGCAACCUGCCUGUAAGACUGGGAUAACACCGGGAAACCGGUGCUAAUACCGGAUAAUUCUUCACCUCUCAUGAGGUGAAGCUGAAAGUCGGUUUCGGCUUGACACUUACAGAUGGGCCCGCGGCGCAUUAGCUAGUUGGUGAGGUAACGGCUCACCAAGGCGACGAUGCGUAGCCGACUCUGAGAGGGUGAUCGGCUCACACUGGGACUGAGACACGGCCUUAGACUCUCUACGGGAGGCAGCUAGUAGGGAAUCUUCCGCUAAUGGACGAAAGUCUGACGGAGCAACGCCGCGUGAGUGAUGAAGGCUUUCGGGUCGUAAAACUCUGUUGUUAGGGAAGAACUAAGUACCGGAGUAACUGCCGGUACUUUGCC